AUUGAACGCUGGCGGCAGGCCUAACACAUGCAAGUCGAACGAGUGGCGGACGGGUGAGUAAUGUCUGGGAAACUGCCUGAUGGAGGGGGAUAACUACUGGAAACGGUAGCUAAUACCGCAUACCAUCGGAUGUGCCCAGAUGGGAUUAGCUAGUAGGUGGGGUAAAGGCUCACCUAGGCGACGAUCCCUAGCUGGUCUGAGAGGAUGACCAGCCACACGGGAACUGAGACACGGUCCCGACUCCUACGGGAGGAAGCAGUGGGGAAUAUUGCACAAGUGGCGCAAGCCUGAUGCAGCCAUGCCGCGUGUAUGAAGAAGGUCUUCGGGUUGUAAAGUACUUUAAGCUGGGAGGCGUUACCAGCAGAAGAAGCACCGGCUAACUCCGUGCCAGCAGCCGCGGUAAUUC
Molecule: ribosomal RNA, 406 nt
Filed under: uncultured bacterium
Lineage: Bacteria
Description: partial 16S ribosomal RNA
Rfam family: Bacterial small subunit ribosomal RNA
Source: RNAcentral